This 299-nucleotide non-coding RNA is filed under the name Oryctolagus cuniculus (rabbit). RNAcentral describes it as "bip internal ribosome entry site (IRES)". It matches the Rfam family "bip internal ribosome entry site (IRES)". From Rfam's summary of the family: This family represents the bip internal ribosome entry site (IRES). BiP protein expression has been found to be significantly enhanced by the heat shock response due to IRES-dependent translation. The record is from Rfam by way of RNAcentral. Lineage: Eukaryota; Metazoa; Chordata; Mammalia; Lagomorpha; Leporidae.
CACCGGCCAGGACAGCAGACGGACAGGUUAGCUUCGGGGUUUCGCGAGCGUGAGAGGUAAGCGCCGCGGCCUGCGGCUCCGGGCCCACUUUUCCAGGCCCUGCCUUCGCCUUGCUGGCGGCUCCUACCGACCUCGGGCCCCUGUCGCUUCCAGGUCGGGAAGCUCGCUGCGUUUCUGUGCUGCGGCCUGUGGCUCGAUUGCCCGCGACGCCUGCCUGCCUGCCUGCCUGCCAGCCAGCCAUCCCAGUGGCACACGGCGCCGGCAAGAUGAAGCUCUCCCUGGUGGCUGCGGUGCUGCUG